Molecule: non-coding RNA, 318 nt
Organism: Erythranthe guttata (spotted monkey flower)
Lineage: Eukaryota; Viridiplantae; Streptophyta; Magnoliopsida; Lamiales; Phrymaceae
Source: RefSeq, a predicted model, not a curated record
CUGAUGCGAAAUGUCUGGACAAAUUUUUGAUUAAGACAGUAGUUGCAAGUUCCGGCGCUACCACAGCAGAUGGUAUCAAGAAGCUGUUUGAUAAGGAGGCUGGAUCUCAAUUUCAAGAUUGCAAAUUGGGAGUUUUCUACACUUUCCCUAGCCAAGCCUCGUCGACAGUUAUUGAAAGAUCAUUUUCCACCUCGGUUGGAUCAGAGACUACAAAUUUGAAUAAUAUUAAGAUGGACGUAACCAAACUUGUUCAAAUUCAGCCUUCGGACCUCAAGUUUGAUUGUGAGUCGUCAGAUACAUCAUUUUAACGCAUUUUCC